Oryctolagus cuniculus (rabbit) is the source of this 735-nucleotide non-coding RNA. Lineage: Eukaryota; Metazoa; Chordata; Mammalia; Lagomorpha; Leporidae. The record is from RefSeq and is a predicted model, not a curated record.
CCACAGAUGGUGAGGAAUUCUAGUCAUGAUGGUACAUUCGAUACUGAUUCUGGAGGCAAAGCAGAUUUGAGUUUUCAGCAUGCCAAUUAGUCACACUUGACAUAUUUGACAAUCAAUCUUUAGCUGGAGAUGACAGUGUUGCUUCACUGAUGGCCUCAGGAGAAAUACUUGACAAUUUUUCUGAAGACCCUGAAUUCUAUGUAACAUAAAUACCCCAAGUUUGAGAGACCACAUAUGGAGGGUCAGGAGCUGGUGGGGAAUUCAAAUAAUCAGAGACCCAGGACUGGUAUGUAUUCCCUCCUUGUUGGGAUUGGUAGAAAAAGGGAAGGACAUGAGAGCUGGCUUAGGGAAGAAUUGUGUCUACCCAGAAAAUGUCCUGAAACUCGGCCAUACGCAAGAAUAGUGGAUCAGUUUGUGUCAUACUACACAGCACUCAUUGGUUGUGAGACGGAAGUUAAGUUAUGCGACUUUGCUAAGCUUCAGAUUUUCAUCUAAUGGUAGUAGUGUCCACACAGUCCCUGUCCAAUUCAUAGGAUUUCUUUGAGAAACAGAUGAGGAAUAGAAUCUGAAAGCACUUCAGUCGGAAACCAAAGAGUAAACAUGCACAAGUACUUACCCUCUCUUAGGUCUCGUUCUAUCUUGGGUGAUGACUUCUUUCCCAUUGAUAAUCCAUGAACUUCUGCACCUUCCACAUUUACUCCUGAAGGGACUCUGCCCAAUCAAAAAGUUGCAGUG